GACCCAUUCAAGUUUGCUACGUCCAUCACGAUACGAUCGCUUCAGGUAGAAAUGCAAACGUUCGCGCAUCCGUUGACCUCACUUUAAACUUACAGCAAAAGUUUUCAGAUAGUGCUAUGUUUGCUUUACGAAGAAAAUUUCCGGACUUGUAGAGAAAUGUUACAUAACCAAACCAAAUAUUUGUCGAAUUCAGCACACAGCUGUGAACUUCUACCAAACCAGUCGAUGUACGGACGAUGACGUAACGGCGCUGGAUCCGGAUGUGACAUCAGUUUUUCCAGUUUGGAUUAACAUGGCGAUGUGUCAGAAGCAGGUGGAAAUGCUAAAUUUCUAUACGAAGCGGAUCCCUGUGUUUUUUCUGCUGGACUUGUGAUGUAAAUCAGCUGUAAACCUCGCCGCGAUUGGAUCGAAA
Molecule: long non-coding RNA, 412 nt
Organism: Daphnia carinata
Lineage: Eukaryota; Metazoa; Arthropoda; Branchiopoda; Diplostraca; Daphniidae
Exons: 5
Source: RefSeq, a predicted model, not a curated record